Lottia gigantea (owl limpet) is the source of this 81-nucleotide microRNA precursor. It matches the Rfam family "mir-216 microRNA precursor family". NCBI's taxonomy places the organism in Eukaryota, Metazoa, Mollusca, Gastropoda, Lottiidae. The record is from Rfam.
UGUUUGUGUAAUCUCAGCUGGUAAUUCUGAGUUCUAAUAAAUACUAAUUUUCUCAAGUUACUUGCCGAGAUUAUAUAAAUA